RNAcentral lists this ribosomal RNA (432 nucleotides) under uncultured bacterium. RNAcentral describes it as "partial 16S ribosomal RNA". It matches the Rfam family "Bacterial small subunit ribosomal RNA", at positions 29 to 507 of the family's 1533-position model. The record is from RNAcentral.
ACGAACGCUGGCGGCAUGCCUAACACAUGCAAGUCGAACGAAGGCUUCGGCCUUAGUGGCGCACGGGUGCGUCACGCGUGGGAAUCUGCCCUUUGGUUCGGAAUAACAGCUGGAAACGGCUGCUAAUACCGGAUGAUGACGAAAGUCCAAAGAUUUAUCGCCAGAGGAUGAGCCCGCGUUGGAUUAGGUAGUUGGUGGGGUAAAGGCCUACCAAGCCGACGAUCCAUAGCUGGUCUGAGAGGAUGAUCAGCCACACUGGGACUGAGACACGGCCCAGACUCCUACGGGAGGCAGCAGUGGGGAAUAUUGGACAAUGGGCGCAAGCCUGAUCCAGCAAUGCCGCGUGAGUGAUGAAGGCCCUAGGGUUGUAAAGCUCUUUUACCCGGGAAGAUAAUGACUGUACCGGGAGAAUAAGCCCCGGCUAACUCCGUG